CUACGGGAUGCAGCAGUGGGGAAUAUUGCACAAUGGAGGAAACUCUGAUGCAGCAACGCCGCGUGGAGGAUGACACUUUUCGGAGCGUAAACUCCUUUUAUAUAGGAAGAAGAUGACGGUACUAUAUGAAUAAGCGCCGGCUAACUCCGUGCCAGCAGCCGCGGUAAUACGGAGGGCGCAAGCGUUACUCGGAAUCACUGGGCGUAAAGAGCGUGUAGGCGGAUUAAAAAGUCAGAAGUGAGAUCCUAUAGCUUAACUAUAGAACUGCUUCUGAAACUCUUAAUCUAGAAUAUGGGAGAGGUAGAUGGAAUUUCUGGUGUAGGGGUAAAAUCCGUAGAGAUCAGAAGGAAUACCGAUUGCGAAGGCGAUCUACUAGAACAUUAUUGACGCUGAGACGCGAAAGCGUGGGGAGCAAACAGGAUUAGAUACCCCCGUAGUC
This 439-nucleotide ribosomal RNA is filed under the name uncultured bacterium. Its description in RNAcentral is "partial 16S ribosomal RNA". It matches the Rfam family "Bacterial small subunit ribosomal RNA", at positions 339 to 795 of the family's 1533-position model. The record is from RNAcentral.